RNAcentral lists this ribosomal RNA (326 nucleotides) under uncultured bacterium. RNAcentral describes it as "bacterial SSU rRNA". It matches the Rfam family "Bacterial small subunit ribosomal RNA", at positions 221 to 561 of the family's 1533-position model. The record is from RNAcentral.
UAAGAUGAGCCUGCGUCCGAUUAGCUAGUUGGUAGGGUAAAAGCCUACCAAGGCGACGAUCGGUAGCUGGUCUGAGAGGAUGAUCAGCCACAAUGGGACUGAGACACGGCCCAUACUCCUACGGGAGGCAGCAGUGGGGAAUUUUGUGCAAUGGGCGAAAGCCUGACACAGCGACACCGCGUGAGCGAAGAAGCCCUUUGGGGUGUAAAGCUCUGUCGGCUGGAACGAAAAAAAUGACGGUACCAGCAAAGGAAGCAUCGGCUAACUACGUGCCAGCAGCCGCGGUAAGACGUAGGAUGCAAGCGUUGUCCGGAUUUAUUGGGCGU